UGUCAGUAGGCCCCACCUCCUAAAGCUUCCAUGGCUACCUAAUAGCGCUACUGGCUAGCAACCAAGCUUUUAGGCUAGGAGCCUGGAGUGAACAAUUAAGAUGCAAGCAGAUUAUAUAUUCACACAUACAUUUUAGCACUUGGAGAUUGCUGUGUGAUUAUAAUUUUCCUUCGAGUGACUGUGGAGAUUCUGGCUUCAUUACAAUUCAGUUGGUUUAAUGAGGUCAAACAUCAUUCGAGUUCCCGGGCAUUGAGGUGCACGCCUGUAAUCCCAGCACUCGGGAGGCUGAGGCAGGAGGAUAGUUGCAAGCUCAAGGCCAGCCUGUGCUAAAGAGUGAACUUAAGGCGAGCUUGAACUAAAUACUGAGAAAAAGACAAAACAAACAAACGAACAAGCAAACAAAAAACAACAGGAAAUCAGUUCAAAAUUGAAAACUGUGCUAUCCCUGUAGUGUACAAUAAGAACAUAAUACAUAACAUGGCUGUACAUGAAUCAAAACACUCAGCUGUCGUGAUGCCAAGAAGUGGAGUUUCUUUUAUUAACACCUUAAAUGACGUCCUCCAAA
RNAcentral lists this long non-coding RNA (565 nucleotides) under Chinchilla lanigera (long-tailed chinchilla). RNAcentral describes it as "lncRNA (ENSCLAG00000024026.1)". Lineage: Eukaryota; Metazoa; Chordata; Mammalia; Rodentia; Chinchillidae. The record is from RNAcentral.